CGCGGCCUAUCAGCUUGUUGGUGGGGUGAUGGCCUACCAAGGCGACGACGGGUAGCCGGCCUGAGAGGGCGACCGGCCACACAGGGACUGAGACACGGCCCAGACUCCUACGGGAGGCAGCAGUGGGGAAUAUUGCACAAUGGGCGGAAGCCUGAUGCAGCGACGCCGCGUGAGGGAUGACGGCCUUCGGGUUGUAAACCUCUUUCAGCAGGGACGAAGCGUGAGUGACGGUACCUGCAGAAGAAGCGCCGGCCAACUACGUGCCAGCAGCCGCGGUAAGACGUAGGGCGCGAGCGUUGUCCGGAUUUAUUGGGCGUAAAGAGCUCGUAGGCGGCUUGUCGCGUCGUCCGUGAAAACUUGGGGCUCAACUCCAAGCUUGCGGUCGAUACGGGCAGGCUAGAGUUCGGUAGGGGAGACUGGAACUCCUGGUGUAGCGGUGAAAUGCGCAGAUAUCAGGAGGAACACCGGUGGCGAAGGCGGGUCUCUGGGCCGAUACUGACGCUGAGGAGCGAAAGCGUGGGGAGCGAACAGGAUUAGAUACCCUGGUAGUCCACGCUGUAAACGUUGGGCGCUAGGUGUGGGGGGCCUCUCCGGUUCUCUGUGCCGCAGCUAACGCAUUAAGCGCCCCGCC
RNAcentral lists this ribosomal RNA (631 nucleotides) under uncultured bacterium. RNAcentral describes it as "bacterial SSU rRNA". It matches the Rfam family "Bacterial small subunit ribosomal RNA", at positions 232 to 873 of the family's 1533-position model. The record is from RNAcentral.